This 513-nucleotide ribosomal RNA is filed under the name uncultured Bacteroidota bacterium. Its description in RNAcentral is "bacterial SSU rRNA". It matches the Rfam family "Bacterial small subunit ribosomal RNA", at positions 9 to 519 of the family's 1533-position model. The record is from RNAcentral. Lineage: Bacteria; Pseudomonadati; Bacteroidota.
GAGUUUGAUCGUGGCUCAGGAUGAACGCUAGCGGCAGGCCUAAUACAUGCAAGUCGAACGGUAAAUAUUUUAGCAAUAGAAUAUGAGAGUGACGUACGGGUGCGUAACACGUAUGCAACCUACCCUUUACAGGCGGAUAGCUCGGGGAAACUCGAAUUAACCCGCCAUAAGAUCAUAGAGUGGCAUCACUUAGUGAUUAAAUUCCAAGAGGUAAAGGCUGGGCAUGCGUCUGAUUAGUUAGUUGGCGGGGUAACGGCCCACCAAGACGAUGAUCAGUAGGGGAACUGAGAGGUUGAUCCCCCACACUGGCACUGAGAUACGGGCCAGACUCCUACGGGAGGCAGCAGUAGGGAAUAUUGGUCAAUGGAUGGAAGUCUGAACCAGCCAUGCCGCGUGCAGGAAGAAGGCCUUCUGGGUUGUAAACUGCUUUUGCCAGGGGCUAAAAAGCUCAUGCGUGAGAAAUUGAAAGUACCUGGUGAAUAAGCCACGGCUAACUACGUGCCAGCAGCCGCC